Molecule: unclassified non-coding RNA, 661 nt
Filed under: Hevea brasiliensis (rubber tree)
Lineage: Eukaryota; Viridiplantae; Streptophyta; Magnoliopsida; Malpighiales; Euphorbiaceae
Source: RNAcentral
UGAGCUUCAAGCUUACGUGUAGUCGAGAAGCUCAGUUCUUCAUAUCCUUCACUUCUUUUAGAAAAUGAGCAGAGAUGGAGAUUGGAUGUGUGCUGCAUGCCAACACCUAAAUUUCAAGAAACGGGAUGCAUGUCAACGAUGCAGCUGCCCAAAAUAUGCAUCACCAGCUGAUGUUGCCAUGUAUGGACUAAACAAAACUGAAGUCUUGGCUGGAGACUGGUAUUGCAGUGGUAUGAACUGUGGUUCUCAUAACUACGCAAGCAGAACAAGCUGCUAUCGAUGUGGUGCCUUAAAAAGUGAUUAUUAUGGCAUCGGAGUAGGAAUGAUGGCACCGACAGGUUAUGGAUAUGAUUCAAGUGCUCUUCCUGGUUGGAAGAGUGGUGAUUGGAUUUGCAGCAGAUUAGGAUGUGGUAUGCACAACUACGCCAGUAGAGCAGAAUGUUAUAAGUGCAAGACACCUAGGGAUUUCGGAGGUGAUAUGAGAGAAAGUGAAUUGUAUUGAGGGACGUGGCGAUACUAAGUUACUAUUGAAGAUUUAGCCUUCAAACAACCCUUCUUCACUCUUGUUUUUAGUUUUUUCUUUUCUUCUUUCUUUAGAUUAGUCUCUUGAAGAAGGGUUUAAUUUCUAACUGCAUUGUAACUGUGCAAUUGUUAUAAUGAA